Molecule: ribosomal RNA, 477 nt
Filed under: Clostridioides difficile
Lineage: Bacteria; Bacillati; Bacillota; Clostridia; Peptostreptococcales; Peptostreptococcaceae
Description: bacterial LSU rRNA
Rfam family: Bacterial large subunit ribosomal RNA
Source: RNAcentral
UUUAACUGAGCGUUCAGUUACUUGACGUAGACCCGAAACCGGGCGACCUACCCAUGAGCAGGAUGAAGCGAAAGUAAAAUUUCGUGGAGGUCCGAACCCACGAGCGUUGAAAAGCUCGGGGAUGACUGGUGGGUAGCGGUGAAAUUCCAAUCGAGCCCGGAGAUAGCUGGUUCUCCCCGAAAUAGCUUUAGGGCUAGCCUCAAGGUGAGAGAUACGGAGGUAGAGCACUGAAUGUCCUAGGGGGUAUUGCACCUACCGAAGACUAUCAAACUCCGAAUGCCGUCAUCUUAUACUUGGGAGUCAGACUGUGGGUGAUAAGAUUCAUAGUCGAAAGGGCAACAGCCCAGAUCGUCAGCUAAGGUCCCUAAAUGUAAGUUAAGUGGUAAAGGAUGUGGGAUUGCACAGACAACCAGGAUGUUGGCUUAGAAGCAGCCACUCAUUCAAAGAGUGCGUAAUAGCUCACUGGUCGAGUGAUCC